UAGAUUGAAGUCCGCUGGCUGGGGCGUUUAGUUGUUAAUUAAAAAUUUUACGGGAUCGAGGCCCGUCAAUCUA
This 73-nucleotide transfer RNA is filed under the name Rhoptropella ocellata (Namaqua day gecko). RNAcentral describes it as "tRNA-Asn". Lineage: Eukaryota; Metazoa; Chordata; Lepidosauria; Squamata; Gekkonidae. The record is from RNAcentral.